GCAUUUUACUUGUCUACACUUUGAAUGAAAUACAGUAUCAAUGCAUAGUAACUUUUCUGCACUCGUGAAUGAAACAUUACCGCCAAUAUAGAACUGUGAUGUCAUGUUUGACAAAUCCAUUAGAGUAACUUGAUCUUAUGCUAUCAUCAUGGCUGCCUGCAGGAAUAAUGUAAGUAUGCAGAUGUUCUUUUACAGAUUGUUAUUAUAUAUGGGUGAUUAUUAUACAAUAAUGUUCUCAAAACUUUGAAAUGAAAAUUUGAAAGCAAAUUAAUGGCAAUUUCCUUGUACUACAGACAUCCUCCUGCUGAUGUUCUAACUCCAUGAUAUGGCUGUCUCCUAUAUUAUUUGUGAAGAUGAAUAGAACCAUGCAGUUUAUCGGCUCAAGUUAAGGAACAUCUGAGCAGCAUUUUGCGAAAACGGGCUUUUGAAGUUAUCAACGAGGUCAGAACUAGAGAACUAAACUGGAACUGAACUAAAGAUAGUGACCAAACGCAUUUAUUGUGAUUCGUUCUUCAUCUGAGUUGGAAAGGGGAUGAAUAUAGGAGUAAAGAAAACAAAUGAAGAAGUUUGAAGGGAUGUGGAAGUAUAUAGAUAGACUAUAAAAAACAUUUGAAAAUUUGAAUAUUAAUUAUAUUUCUGUGAGAAAACAAUAAAGAUUAGACUUAC
Molecule: long non-coding RNA, 666 nt
Organism: Magallana angulata
Lineage: Eukaryota; Metazoa; Mollusca; Bivalvia; Ostreida; Ostreidae
Exons: 2
Source: RefSeq, a predicted model, not a curated record